AUGGUCGCAUGUGACUUUGACCUAAACUUCACAUUCAUCUCAUGUGGUUGGGAAGGGUCACCUACAGAUGCUACAGUGCUCCAGUCAGCCUUGAACCGUGGCUUCAAAGUACCCGAAGGAAUGUUCUAUUUGGUUGAUGGUGGUUAUGCAAAUACCACAUCUUUCCUUGCACCAUAUCGGGGUGUCCGGUAUCACCUCAAGGAGUUUAGGUAUGGGCGCCAUCGACCACAAAACUACAAGGAGUUGUUCAAUCUUUGGCAUGUCGUGUUGCGCAACCAUGUGGAAAGGGCCAUAGGAAUUCUUAAGAAACGUUUCCCAAUUCUUCGUGUUGGUACAUACCAUCAAAUAGAAAACCAAGUCAAGAUCACAGCAGCUGCGGCAGUCUUUCAUAAUAUCAUCAGGAUGCAUAAGGGCGAUGAAAAAUGGCUUGAUAAUCAACCCAAUAACAUACCUCCCACCGAAUUUGUUAACCUUCCGGAUGAUGAUGAUCACCAACAUGGUAACCACCAAGAGAAUAAUAUCCCAGGCGACAACUUCAUGGACGAGAUUGCUAGGAGGAUGUGGGAUGAUUUCCAACUUGACUAG
Molecule: ribosomal RNA, 585 nt
Filed under: Triticum aestivum (bread wheat)
Lineage: Eukaryota; Viridiplantae; Streptophyta; Magnoliopsida; Poales; Poaceae
Description: partial small subunit ribosomal RNA
Source: RNAcentral